GAUGAAGAACGCAGCGAAAUGCGAUAAGUAAUGUGAAUUGCAGAAUUCAGUGAAUCAUCGAAUCUUUGAACGCACAUUGCGCCCGCCAGUAUUCUGGCGGGCAUGCCUGUUCGAGCGUCAUUUCAACCAUCAAGCCCCCGGCUUGUGUUGGGGACCUGCGGCUGCCGCAGGCCCUGAAAACCAGUGGCGGGCUCGCUGUCACACCGAGCGUAGUAGAUUUUCAUCUCGCUCAGGGCGUGCUGCGGGUUCCGGCCGUAAAAAGCCUUAUUUACCCAAGGUUGACCUCGGAUCAGGUAGGAAGACCCGCUGAACUUAAGCAUAUUAAUAAGCGGAGGA
This 336-nucleotide unclassified non-coding RNA is filed under the name soil metagenome. RNAcentral's name for it is "partial contains 5.8S ribosomal RNA, internal transcribed spacer 2, and large subunit ribosomal RNA". The stretch from base 1 to 120 matches the Rfam family "5.8S ribosomal RNA", at positions 35 to 154 of the family's 154-position model. The record is from RNAcentral.